GUCCGGGUGGCGGAAUUGGCAGACGCGCUAGCUUGAGGUGCUAGUGCCCCAAAAGGGCAUGGGGGUUCAAGUCCCCCCUCGGACACCG
This 88-nucleotide transfer RNA is filed under the name Actinomycetota bacterium. RNAcentral describes it as "Actinobacteria bacterium (freshwater metagenome) tRNA-Leu". It matches the Rfam family "tRNA". From Rfam's summary of the family: Transfer RNA (tRNA) molecules are approximately 80 nucleotides in length. Their secondary structure includes four short double-helical elements and three loops (D, anti-codon, and T loops). Lineage: Bacteria; Bacillati; Actinomycetota. The record is from RNAcentral.